This is a long non-coding RNA of Lycium barbarum (goji berry), 848 nucleotides long. RefSeq lists it as uncharacterized. The transcript is spliced from 3 exons. The record is from RefSeq and is a predicted model, not a curated record. Lineage: Eukaryota; Viridiplantae; Streptophyta; Magnoliopsida; Solanales; Solanaceae.
CUUCUUUAUAUAUUACAUUGUACCUAUGGAUAUCAACUAUGUAGUCUAAUGGGAAAUUGUGCUACAGGGGUUUAUAUAUCAUUUAUUGAAGAGUUAUUAGGUGGCAGUCUUUUGGAUAGGAGUCACCUAAUGUCAACACGUGACUUGGCCAGCUUUACAACAUUUUAUUUACUGAUACUUCAUGACUAAGUUAUAGAUACAAAGUUAUGUUGUCGAAGUAGGUAAUAGCAGAAUUACAUUCACAUAUACCAAGAAAGAGGAGAACUCACUUUGACGUGCAAAAGGACUUUCUUCAUAGAUUAAGUGUUGUAGUGGAGUUUUCUCAAAUUUGGCAUCAGAUCAUUGAGCUCGGACUAAAGGCUAAAGGGGCGACGAAGCGAACUUGGUUACGGUUAACCUAUAAAAGGUACAGAUAGUUGGUUUGGUGACCCUUCAGCAUAGGACUUCUACUCAGCUAUCUUGGAGAGCUCCGUUGUUUCGGAGUUUAGACUUUCAGUACAGAUCUUGUGAGAUAUAUAUGUAUAUGUUAUCCAGGGGUACGGCGGGGCCCUGUCCCGUCAUAUGUUACUGUUGAUAUUCUUAGAGGUCUGUAGACAUAUGUGUGGGUUGUGUAUGGGUUCUGUUCAGCUGUGUCUAUACGAUGUGCUGUGGUAUGAUGUUCGUCUAUAGUGGCAGCCUUGUCGGCUUGCAUAUGAUAUUGAUAUGUGAUGGCGGCCUUGUCGGCUUGCGUAUUAUUUCAUGAUAUGAUCAGUUGUGACUCCUCAGGAGACAGUGUAUCUGAAUAUACAUAUAUGAUGAGGCUAUGAACCUUCAGAGUUCUUUCGUAAAGUUCCAUAUUGUUCGUAGUU